Chenopodium quinoa (quinoa) is the source of this 1382-nucleotide long non-coding RNA. RefSeq lists it as uncharacterized. NCBI's taxonomy places the organism in Eukaryota, Viridiplantae, Streptophyta, Magnoliopsida, Caryophyllales, Amaranthaceae. The transcript is spliced from 3 exons. The record is from RefSeq and is a predicted model, not a curated record.
UCUCUCUCUCUUCUACUUCCUCUCUCCUCAACUAGAUCUCCCUAUUCUCUCUCUCUUUCCUCUCUCCACCGUGCCGUCGUCCAUUCCUCAUGCUUCCCUCUAUUCAUGUCCUAGCAACGGCGGUAGUGGCGCUAAGAGCUGAUACAAACCCACCUCUUGUCGUUUCCCCCUCACGAAAUGAUUUUCCCUGAAGGUGUUGAGCUUUUGUCUGACUCAUACCCCUACAAGGAACUCUUCAAUGGAUGCCUUUGGGACAUAGAUGGAAAGUGGACUGUUAAAGGUGGUGUUGAUGUCAACAUUAGUGCCAACCCUUAUGCUGAAAAAUGGGUAAACGUCUCAAGGAAUAAAUAGUAAUGUCUAAGGGGGUUGUAUGAAUAUAUGUUGAAUUCACUCAGAUGUUACCAAGCUAAGGAUUCUAUUCUGAAUUUUAAAUCUGUUGUUAAUGUUCCUCUGUUGUCUCUGAAUGAGGCUUUGUUUUGUUUGAAAUCCUAAAUCUGAUGCAAGGUCUAAGGGGGUUGUUUUGUUUGAAAUAAUGAUGAUGAUUUUGCUACUUGGAUUUGAAAAAGAUCUCGAAAAGAUGCAAUGUUUUAUUGUUUUGGUUGUAAUGAUGAUUUUGCAGCUCGAAUUAGAUAAUAUAUUAAUAGUUGUUGUCGUUAGCUACAUUUUUUCGGGAGCUAUAUAUAGAGUGAGAGGGUGGGAGGUGGAGGUUUGGCUUCUACUUGAAUUUUUUUCAAACUGAUGAAUAUUGCACUUGUACAUUAGCAGUAUAUGGAAUGAAGUGCUCAAAUGUGUUAUGAGUCUCUUUCAACGUUCUGUCAAUUUGGGCCCUGUGAUGUCUCUUGAAUCUUUAUUGCUCAUAAUGUGCAGUGGACAUGUUUAGUUCUGCUUUGAAAAAUUGAGUCUGCAUGUCUAGCACCAGGUCUCCUUGUUUAUUGGCUAUUUAAAGAUGUGUAGUGGCUGUCCCUUCCAGCCUUCCUGCUUUUUACAUCAGAAAUCAUGAAAUUUCUUUUGCCUUUUGUUUAGUUGUUUGUGCAUGGAUGGAGUUGCUAGUUACUUUCAAUAUCUAAUCUCUUUGAAAGUGCACACCUGUCUUCUGCCCUUUUAAUGCAUAAAUCCUAAUGAUCUGAUAUACAGAAUUUAUCCUAAUGUUGAAGUUCCUGAGAUUUGGUCACAUUUCCUUAUCUUUGUAUAUAUCUUAUACAUGGCUAAAUUAGACCUUUCUUGACUACCUUUGAGAUGAUUUCAAUCAUAUUUUAGAACAAAGUUAAUGAUAAGUCCAUUGAAAUAGAUUUUUAAAAUCAAAAGUUAACAUAUAUGCCUAGAUGUAUGCUUAGAGUAUACAAAUAGAUCUUCCAGUUUCUUUUUUUUUUUUUUUUUUUUUU